GAUCAUGGCUCAGGAUGAACGCUGGCGGCGUACUUAACACAUGCAAGUCGAGCGAAGCACUUUGGAAAGAUUCUUCGGAUGAUUUCCUUUGUGACUGAGCGGCGGACGGGUGAGUAACGCGUGGGUAACCUGCCUCAUACAGGGGGAUAACAGUUAGAAAUGACUGCUAAUACCGCAUAAGACCACGGUACCGCAUGGUACAGUGGUAAAAACUCCGGUGGUAUGAGAUGGACCCGCGU
RNAcentral lists this ribosomal RNA (239 nucleotides) under uncultured bacterium. RNAcentral's name for it is "partial 16S ribosomal RNA". It matches the Rfam family "Bacterial small subunit ribosomal RNA", at positions 15 to 236 of the family's 1533-position model. The record is from RNAcentral.